UCGGUCAUUUGUGAGACAAUUUCAAUAAAACUGACGGUAUAUUUUUUAAUAAUAAAAAAAAAAUAGCCCAUUCGUUCGAAAACUAUCACAUUUUUAAAAUUUCAAUAAAAAAAGACCUAAAGGCAAACCUUGCAGUAGAGUCUACUUCUUACAAAUCAACCACAUUGUUCUAUUUCAAAUAAUCACUAUUUUUGCAUUGAAGAAACAGUAGAUCUGAUACUAAAUUGAUUACUACAUAACUCAAAGAAGGUAUUGGGUAUUUAAAUCACCAGGUGUAGACCAUUUUAUUUUCCCGUGCGCCACUGGAAAUUUUGAAUAACCCUGUGACAUGUUUCUGUGCCGAUUCUUUCGACGUCUUGUCAACAUUAAGUUUCAACUGUCCGAUUGUUUGUGUGUUGAUUCCCUAGACUCUGUCAAACCCCCCAAAGGUAAUAACUGAACGGGGUCAAGAUUGGGAAAAUGUGGUAUCCAUUCAUUUGUAAAUUUUCGGCGUUCCCCAAACAUUUCUUGGAACCAUUUCUUUCAGGGCCUCUCUUGAUGUGUGUGUCGUGACCCCAUCCUACUGGAACCAGGCCUGUACGGUAUAACAUAGUAUUCUCCCCUAAUGUCUCCAAAACUUUCUCGGCACAUAGAUAUCUAUCUGAGGUGACUGUUUGUGGCUUUACUGUCCUUGUCUUGCAACCAAUAAGGGCCGAUCACGCCCCAUGUAGCUCAACAUUUAUUUAUAAGGAAUACAAAUUUGCGUUUUACCCAUUUUUGCUUGAAAUUUUUAAAACUUGAUAUUAACUCUCGCACGCAUCUAUUGAUUUUCUUCAUAUUUACAGACUUGACUUCCUCAGGGUUGAAUUUAUAUGUUCCAAUUUUUGUUGAAAUUAGUGUAGAUCUAGGGACGAGUGAGUUCUUACCCUUCAUAUUGGUCCUCUUUUCUUUUAGACACACUGUACUGCUUAAUUUGUCGUUUUCGUGCUUCAACCCUUGCGUCUCUGGACUCCUUGUGUAAUAUCAAGCCACUGUACAGCCGGUGUUUCCCACACUACAGUUUUUCCUUUCUUUGCUUUUAAAAAAAGUUAUUGUUAUAGUUUGUUUUCUUUUCUUUGGGUCACGCAAAACAAUGACAUGCAGUAUAAAAAGCCAGGAAACGCACCGUCCUUCGUGUUGACGUUAACAGAUCUUCUUCAAACUGUACCAAGGUUGGUUCGCCUGUUUUAAAUCUGCCCUCGUACUCAAGAUGUCUGCCGCUCUGCAAGUUUUCCUCUUGGUCCUUUUCACCGUUGCAUGUCUUGUGCACCUAGCUGCCGCUAACGCAUGCAUGUGGUACAACUGCGGCCCCAAAGGAACCUGCUUCGUCAGGAGCAGUGGACCCUAUUGUCACUGUGACGACGGCAGCCUAAAAGCUACUUGCAAUUAACUCUUAAAUCAAAUAAGUCAUGGUGUGUUGGAAGAGCGGUUUAAAAUAAAGUUGCCCCCCCCCCCUCCUUUCCGGCACCAUCGUUUGGAACAGCUGAGACAUAGUGUGCAACAAUCAGGGUCACUGGGAAUUUCCCCGUGAAAUCGUAGACAAGUCUUUCAGCAACAGGAAACAGAGCACCAUAAACGUCUUUGGGCGGAAGGGGGUAGGGUGUAAAUUUACUUUGACCCAAAAGACCUUUAGAACUGCUCUCUCCCUCACCCUAUAAGCGACGUCUAUUCUGAAACAGCGGAAGAACAUCCAUUUGCCCAAACCUCCAAACUCCCCUCUCAAAGACUAUAAUAUGAUCAGAAAGACCAUUUUCUCUUCAACCACAGACGACUUUACGUGACCUCCACUCUGUGUUAUUGUUAUAAUAUUGGUUAAACGAAAAAACGGAAACUGUUUAGUCCCUUGUUCAUUAAUAAAUCGGUCGGAAGUAUUAGAA
This 1895-nucleotide long non-coding RNA is filed under the name Aplysia californica (California sea hare). Its description in RNAcentral is "uncharacterized LOC118478754". Lineage: Eukaryota; Metazoa; Mollusca; Gastropoda; Aplysiida; Aplysiidae. The record is from RNAcentral.